GACGAACGCUGGCGGCGUGCUUAACACAUGCAAGUCGAACGGAAAGGCCCUGCUUUUGUGGGGUGCUCGAGUGGCGAACGGGUGAGUAACACGUGUGUAACCUGCCCUUGUCUUUCGGAUAACUUCAGGAAACUGGGGCUAAUACCGGAUAGGAGCUCCUGCUGCAUGGUGGGGGUUGGAAAGUUUCGGCGGUAGGGGAUGGACUCGCGGCUUACGAGCUUGUUGGUGGGGUAGUGGCUUACCAAGGCUGUGACGGGUAGCCGGCCUGAGAGGUUGACCGGCCACAUUGGGACUGAGAUACGGCCCAGAAUGCUACGGGCGGCAGCAGUGGGGAGUAUUGCACAAUGGGCGGAAGCCUGAUGCAGCAACGCUGCGUGCGGGAUGACGGCCUUCGGGUUGUAAACCGCUUUCGCCUGUGACGAGGCGUGAGUGACGGUAAUGGGUAAAGAAGCACCGGCUAACUACGUG
Molecule: ribosomal RNA, 468 nt
Filed under: uncultured bacterium
Lineage: Bacteria
Description: partial 16S ribosomal RNA
Rfam family: Bacterial small subunit ribosomal RNA
Source: RNAcentral